Long non-coding RNA from Oreochromis aureus, 345 nucleotides. The record is from Ensembl. Lineage: Eukaryota; Metazoa; Chordata; Actinopteri; Cichliformes; Cichlidae.
AUGCACACACAAGAAUAAAUGUGUUGCUGCAAGACAUCAAAUAAUUUGGUUUGUUAUUUGUACGAGACGGGGCUGGACUCGGAGCUCUAGAACCUGUUGGACCUGUAAACGUUUUAAAGACAGCACGAUGGCACGCGUCAGAGAUCUCAGAUAAUGAUUUUCUGUAAAGAACAGCUGCAAAAACGAAGCAGAAGAAUUACAGCUGUCACAGGCGAUGAGCUGGGAAGGACAGGACAUGAUCCAGAGAAGAGUCUAACAGGAGAGCAGAGUCUGAAGCCUCUUUCUUUACAAAAACCCACUAACACUGACUAACAUCUGGACUGUGUCUCUAGUGGGAAAGGACGC